CAUGGGGGUGUCUUAUACAUGGAAAAAUACGGUAAUUAAGGACAUGGUUCACUCUCAUUGUGUUUGGUGUUUGGGCAAAGGGUCAGAUUUCAGCACCUACGUAACUGUGAAAUCACUAGAACUUAAAAUUCUUUCAUUUUUAUCUCUGUUGUGCCCAUAUAUGCAUAUAUCUUCCUUCAAAAUUAAAGCUGCCCUCAUUUCAAAACCACACACAGAUCAUCAUCAGAUAUGCAAUGGGGAGAUUCCAUUAUUCAAGACAUUUUCCAUCCACCAUCCACCUCCAUAGGAUCUCCUUUACUUUGUGGGAGGUCUUAAUCAUUUCCUUCAUCAUCGUGUGUAUAUAAGAGUUGCGCAUCGAACCAUUGAUCCAGUUCGGGCACCUGAAAAAGACUGAAGCAAGCUGUAGUCACCAUAAUGCUGUCCAUGUGUUUGAUUUUGCUUUGGUUUGGAAUGUACACCACCAGUCCAAUAGAAAGAAAUAACAUACUGAAGAUCGCGAUUAAGGAGACUCAGGCUUAUAAUGAAAAUACAAUGCAACUGAUGAAAGCAGAUACUGCAAAGCCACAAGUAGAUCUCCCAGUUGACUUAACGAAAGAAUGUGCAAAAAAUAAUCUGAAGAUAUUUUGGAAUUCAUUAAAACAUAUCGAUUUUGGGAACAAUUCUGAAUUAUCUAAUAAUGGUACUAACCUUGUAGAAAGCCUUGGGGUAGUCAUUGAGUCUUGGCCUGAAGCAGAGGGUCAAGGCUGUACAACGUCAAAGGGGACUUUGAAAGAGCUACUGGUAGAUCUCGCCCACUUUCUCAGAGAACUCAGCCACUACCUCAACAUAGGAGCAAAGCCAUAAAUGUAGUUGCUCAAGAGAAACACAACAAAACAAGAGGUUACAUAACAUCUUUCACUGGGUCAAGUUUGGUCCAUUUUCAUUUAUACAUGUUACUCAAGGGCACUCUAUUCUUCUUUUAUUUAUUAAUUUAUUUAUUUAAUUAUUUCUAUUUAUUUAUGUUUUUCCUUAUCUAUUUUAAUGCCUACUGCAGUGGUGCUUCGUAUAACGAGUGCACCGUGGAAUGAUGAAUCCGCACUGCGAUGCGGAUUUCCCCAUCGCUAAUGUGAGGGCAUGCUCACAUUACGAUGGGGGAACAGCUGUUCAGCGGUUCCAAAAUGGCCGCUGGAACACAAAAAAUGGGUGCCGGUACACCCAAGAUGGCCACCGGGACUCUCAAAAUGGCCACUGGUACAACCAAGAUGGCCGCUGGAACACAAAAAUGGCCGCCGGUACACCCAAGAUGGCCACCAGAACACAAAAAAUGGGCACCAGUACACCCAAAAUGGCUGCUGGGAUGCUCAAAAUGGCCACCGGUACACCCAAGAUGGCUGCUGGAACAAGGGAAAACAUUGGAGAACGGUGAGUUUUGGGCCCAUUU
Molecule: long non-coding RNA, 1420 nt
Filed under: Pogona vitticeps (central bearded dragon)
Lineage: Eukaryota; Metazoa; Chordata; Lepidosauria; Squamata; Agamidae
Description: lncRNA (ENSPVIG00000019239.1)
Source: RNAcentral